GACAGAGGGUGCAAACGUUGCUCGGAAUCACUGGGCGUAAAGGGCGUGUAGGCGGGAAGGAAAGUCAGAUGUGAAAUCCCUGGGCUCAACCCAGGAACUGCAUUUGAAACUCCCUUUCUUGAGUGUCGGAGAGGUAAGCGGAAUUCCUGGUGUAGAGGUGAAAUUCGUAGAUAUCAGGAGGAACACCGGUGGCGAAGGCGGCUUUCUGGACGACAACUGACGCUGAGACGCGAAAGCAUGGGGAGCGAACAGG
Molecule: ribosomal RNA, 253 nt
Filed under: uncultured bacterium
Lineage: Bacteria
Description: partial 16S ribosomal RNA
Rfam family: Bacterial small subunit ribosomal RNA
Source: RNAcentral